Long non-coding RNA from Tachysurus vachellii, 260 nucleotides. RefSeq lists it as uncharacterized. NCBI's taxonomy places the organism in Eukaryota, Metazoa, Chordata, Actinopteri, Siluriformes, Bagridae. The record is from RefSeq and is a predicted model, not a curated record. The transcript is spliced from 3 exons.
UUUAGGUCUUUUACGGAUGUCAUAUGCUGCCUGAUUUUCGUUGCCGCUAUGGUCGGCUAUGUAAUCCUUGGUGGUGCAGCUUGGCUUUAUGGAAAUCCUCAGUACAUCACCAAGGAGCAAAACUCUGCUGGGGCUUUUUGUGGAAUGGGAUCAAACUUCGAUAAACCCAAUUUGUUUUAUUUCAACAUACUGAAGUGUGCCUUAGCAGUCAAUGUAACUGCAUCAACGUUCAAAGGCCUUCAGUGUCCAACGAUUCAAGU